AUUGAACGCUGGCGGCAGGCCUAACACAUGCAAGUCGAACGGUAACAGGAAGCAGCUUGCUGCUUUGCUGACGAGUGGCGGACGGGUGAGUAAUGUCUGGGAAACUGCCCGAUGGAGGGGGCUAACUACUGGAAACGGUAGCUAAUACCGCAUAACGUCGCAAGACCAAAGAGGGGGACCUUAGGGCCCCUUGCCAUCGGAUGUGCCCAGAUGGGAUUAGCUAGUAGGUGGGGUAACGGCUCACCUAGGCGACGCUCCCUAGCUGGUCUGAGAGGAUGACCAGCCACACUGGAACUGAGACACGGUCCAGACUCCUACGGGAGGCAGCAGUGGGGAAUAUUGCACAAUGGGCGCAAGCCUGAUGCAGCCAUGCCGCGUGUAUGAAGAAGGCCUUCGGGUUGUAAAGUACUUUCAGCGGGGAGGAAGGGAGUAAAGUUAAUACCUUUGCUCAUUGACGUUACCCGAAGAAGAAGCACCGGCUAACUCCGUG
This 490-nucleotide ribosomal RNA is filed under the name uncultured bacterium. RNAcentral describes it as "partial 16S ribosomal RNA". It matches the Rfam family "Bacterial small subunit ribosomal RNA", at positions 30 to 507 of the family's 1533-position model. The record is from RNAcentral.